Small nucleolar RNA from Pelobates fuscus (common spadefoot toad), 217 nucleotides. RefSeq annotates it as small nucleolar RNA U3. The transcript has a single exon. NCBI's taxonomy places the organism in Eukaryota, Metazoa, Chordata, Amphibia, Anura, Pelobatidae. The record is from RefSeq and is a predicted model, not a curated record.
AAGACUAUACUUUCAGGGAUCAUUUCUCUAAUUUUUAACUGGUGGAAUGUGUUCGAAAGUGUCUAAACUCAGUAACCACAAGGAAGAGCUUCAGGGUUUUUUUUCUGUGCACGAGAUGAGUUUCUCUAACUUCUGCAUGGAGUCGCUGGUUACUUUUGAUGAAUGCACUGGGUUUCUUAAAUGGGAUUUAGCAUGGAGAAAACCCAAUCUGAGUGGU